Molecule: long non-coding RNA, 394 nt
Organism: Xenia sp. Carnegie-2017
Lineage: Eukaryota; Metazoa; Cnidaria; Anthozoa; Malacalcyonacea; Xeniidae
Exons: 3
Source: RefSeq, a predicted model, not a curated record
AAGCAGUUGGUAUCAACUGAAAGCAAAUUGGCAAUAGAGAAAGCGAGAAAAGAUAACAAAGAUUUCAAUUCAAUUUUGGUCAAAUGUACUUUCUUUGAAAUGUCUGCCUUGCAGAAGUAAUGGAUUACAAUAUAAUAACCGCACAUCAAAAAUUGCAGAUUUACUGGACUUAAGGAGAACAAUGUAAUGUUAUAAAGUAGCAAUGGACUCUAUUUGUAUUAUAGAUAUGAUAUUAAAUAUUUUCCUGUUAUUUGUAGUACUAAUAAAAAUAUUAUUAUAGAUACAACAUACAUGAUAAACACACCCAUCUAAAUUCGUAUCUUCAAAUUUUUUUCCAAACUUCUUGCAUAAUAAUAUAAAGUUUGUGUGUUUAAUGUGUUUGACUAUUUGUCCA